GAUGAACGCUGGCGGUAUGCCUAACACAUGCAAGUCGUACGAGAGUUUUUAACUCUAGUGGCGGACGGGUGAGUAACACGUGAGAAUUUGCCUUUAGGAGGGGGAUAACAAUUGGAAACGAAUGCUAAUACCCCAUAUGCUUUUGAGUGAAAUGGAUUUUAUCCGCCUAGAGAGAAGCUCGCGGCUGAUUAGCUUGUUGGUAAGGUAAGAGCUUACCAAGGCGACGAUCAGUAUCUGGUUUGAGAGGACGAUCAGACACACUGGAACUGAGACACGGUCCAGACUCCUACGGGAGGGCAGCAGUGGGGAAUUUUCCGCAAUGGGCGAAAGCCUGACGGAGCAAUACCGCGUGAGGGAAGAAUGCCUAUGGGUUGUAAACCUCUUUUUUCAGGGAGGAAUAAAAUGACGUGUACCUGAAGAAUAAGCAUCGGCUAACUCCGUG
RNAcentral lists this ribosomal RNA (442 nucleotides) under uncultured bacterium. RNAcentral describes it as "bacterial SSU rRNA". It matches the Rfam family "Bacterial small subunit ribosomal RNA", at positions 28 to 507 of the family's 1533-position model. The record is from RNAcentral.